AUGCUGAAAAGCUUAACUUUUGGCAGAAGUAAAGUCCAGAAGGGUAUAUUAAAAUCCAUUGCUCCCAAUCCAGCAUGGGGGAAGAGCCUGGCCCUUCCAAAAGGAGUUAAUUCCCCCUUCCUCCUGCUACCUGAGCCCAGGGGAAUACCUGCACCUGGUGGUAGGGUGUGGGAUGGAGCAUGGCCAGCCUUCUGCCCUUCCUUCUUGGAUGCUGGGAGGUGCUGUGAUGUGCUUCUACUCCACAACCAGGACCUUCCUCCAAAGUGUCACUGCUGCUGUAUUUUAUUAGACCUCUGGUUUUCAUUAUGCAAAAAGUCAAAACUGGAACAUUGUAAAUCUCCCCUCUCCUUCCCGCUCGCUGCUCUGAAGCUCGGCCGCCAUUCUAUGCCUGACGGCUUCUCCUACCAACGCACACUAUUUCCAGGGGCUCUGGGGAACUGGAGGUGAGAACAGAGAACAGGGAGGGGGAGCCUGCUUGCCCAAGGCUUGUUAACCUGAGCGCACACUCUCUUUCUCAAAUUUGUUUUCUCAGCUGGUGGCACAGUCACUGCCCCAGCGCCAUCAGUCCAGCAGAGAGCAGUUCCAUUCGAGAUCUGAAGGCAGAUUUUAAAGAAGUGGUUGGGCAGGAGGGGGGGGAGCUUAAUAACAGCUUAGAGCCUGACUCUGCGUGUUUUCUUAGUAUAUUGAAAUACGAACUGUGUAAACAUGCUCCGCAUUCCACCUGCUCAAGCAUCUGCCAGAAAUCUCACAAAAGCCCUUUGCUGUAUCUUACACCCUCCUGUUCUGCCUGCCCUCCUCCCCGCAAGCUCUCCUGCACCACCUUGCUGUCCCGCUCCCCACCCCGUCUCUACAAACACAUGCUCCAUUUUGUUCCUGCUGGAGACGCACAUUUCCAACCUCUACUUGCACCUAGCGUGUGGCGCCUUUCCCAGCCUCCUCUUUCUUAGGGUUGGGACUCGCUUCAGCCUCAGAGCACUGCUUGGUGCUGAUGCUUGUCAGGUUAUUGUUGUUCUUCCAAUAGUGUUUACUAUUAUUAUAUAUAAAUAUGGCAGCAAUCACCCCAGAGACCGAAUGCUUUCC
This 1080-nucleotide long non-coding RNA is filed under the name Phasianus colchicus (ring-necked pheasant). RNAcentral's name for it is "lncRNA (ENSPCLG00000003832.1)". Lineage: Eukaryota; Metazoa; Chordata; Aves; Galliformes; Phasianidae. The record is from RNAcentral.